Molecule: ribosomal RNA, 599 nt
Filed under: uncultured bacterium
Lineage: Bacteria
Description: bacterial SSU rRNA
Rfam family: Bacterial small subunit ribosomal RNA
Source: RNAcentral
GAAAGAAUAUCGGAGACGGAUGGGCAUGCGGCGCAUUAGCUAGUUGGCGGGGUAACGGCCCACCAAGGCGACGAUGCGUAGGGGUUCUGAGAGGAAGGUCCCCCACACUGGUACUGAGACACGGACCAGACUCCUACGGGAGGCAGCAGUGAGGAAUAUUGGUCAAUGGGCGAGAGCCUGAACCAGCCAAGUCGCGUGAGGGAGUACUGCCCUAUGGGUUGUAAACCUCUUUUGUCGGGGAGCAAAAGCCGGACGUGUCCGGCUGUGAGAGUACCCGAAGAAAAAGCAUCGGCUAACUCCGUGCCAGCAGCCGCGGUAAUACGGAGGAUGCGAGCGUUAUCCGGAUUUAUUGGGUUUAAAGGGUGCGCAGGCGGAUUUUUAAGUCAGCGGUCAAAUCGUGGGGCUCAACCCCAUCCAGCCGUUGAAACUGGGGAUCUAGAGUGUGCGAGAGGUAUGCGGAAUGCGUGGUGUAGCGGUGAAAUGCAUAGAUAUCACGCAGAACCCCGAUUGCGAAGGCAGCAUACCGGUGCACAACUGACGCUCAGGCACGAAAGCGUGGGUAUCGAACAGGAUUAGAUACCCUGGUAGUCCACGCAGUA